CCCUACAGACAUGACCACAGGCCAAUCCCAUAGAGGAAAUUCCUUAACUGAAGCUCCCUCUACUCAGAUUCUGUUUACUUCUGAGGAGCACACCAGGGUCCUCAGAGAAGCAGCCUGCUCUGUCCUUGGAUGAGACAGACUAACUGUUACAGAAUGGGAGGAGAUUGAGGAAGUGUCCCCAACCACCCCUCUGGACUGGGACCCUAAUACCUCACACAGUAGGGAGAACUUAUACCGGUAUUGCCAGACUCUGUUACGGGGACUCAGGGCUGCGGUUAGGAAGCCCACAAAUCUUUCAAAGAGAGACACAUCUGGAAGUGACUCUCCUCCAGUAUGUGGAUGACCUGCUCCUGGCUGCAGUCUCUGAGGAGACCUGUGGCCAAGCCACCGAAGGCCUGCUAAGGGAACUGGCUCAUCUAGGGUAUAGGAUAUCAGCCAAAAAGGCCAAGGUAUGUCAGAACAGUGUGAUAUUUGGGAUAUACUAUCCAUGAAGGAAAAGAGGUUGCUGGGAACAGAGAGACUAUAUACAAUAUUAAGUAUUCCUACCCCUAGGAACAGGUGGCAAGUCAGAGAAUUUUGGGGGGCUGCUGGGUAUUGCUGUCUUUGGAUACCCAGGUUCGCUGAGUUAGCAAAACCCUCAUAUGCUGCCACCAGCAAUUUGGGAGAGGACUUUAAGUAGGGUGAGGACGAGGACGAGGCCUUUGCCUGAUUGAAACAAGCCCAGCCUUAACAUUGCCUGAUGUGACUAAGCCAUUUCAGCUGUUUGUACAUGAGACAUGGGGUAUAGCCAAGAGAAUGCUUACCCAAGAACUGGGACCGCGAAGGAGACCUGUGGCCUAUCAUCUCUUUAAAAGGCUUGAUCCAGUCGCUAUGGGGUGGCCAAGUUGCUUGUGCUCCAUAGUGGCCAUGACCAUUCUGGUAAAGGAGGCUAUGAAGCUGACUUUGAGACGAGAUCUUCAAAUUGUGAGCCCCCAUACAGUUGAAGCCACCCUGAGGGUCCCACCUGAGAGAUGGAUUUCCAAUGCACGCAUCACCCAGUACCAAGUGUUCUUACUAAAGCCUCCACACAUCACCUUCCUCAGGACCGAAGCACUAAAUUCUGCCACCCUGUUGCCAGAUGAUGACCCUGAUGCACCCCUCCACGGCUGCCUAGAGACUGCAUUGCAGUCCACACUCCCUGAGAUUCACAAGUGUGUGAAGGAGGACCAGGCAGAGACAGCAGAGCCCCAUGACUUGCCUUGUACAAUGGUGGACCCCAGCACCUGGGUUUGGGUACACUGACAUUCUGCUCCAGAUUUUGAGGCUCGCUGGGCUGGACCAUACCCUGUUGUUCUAAGCAUCCUGUCUGCAGUCAAGGUGGCUGGUUACAGUCACUGGAUGCACGGUUCUCAAACUAAAGAAGCGCACCCAGAUCAUAUCCCCCAGUCAUGGAGCCUCAAGAACCCCGGCAAUCCUUUAAAACUCAAGCUGGUAAAGAACCCCUCUGGACUAUCCUAAUAUUGUUUUCUCUCCUCUUUUCAGCCCCCUCUAUCCAUGCCCCUGCCUUUUAUCAUUAGGUCUUAAGUCACACCUCUGAGGAUCGUGUUAUAGGAAAUGUCACUUCUUAUGGGACUCCUGAGAUUCCAGUGUUUAAAUUUGACCUUUGCGAGCUGUUCUUCCCUGGGGGCUCAUGGUGUGAAACAAGGACCUUUGGAAGUGUUAUAGAGGGGCAGCAAUUCUAUGCCUGUCUGGUUGCUGGGGCCACAAAAUGUAGCACCCCAGGACAAUGGCAAUGUGGAGAAUGGGGUUGUGACAACUUGGGAAGGAUAAAUGGAUCUCCCUAAAGAGAGGGACUUCCGAUUGUUCUGUCCCUCCCUAUAGGUCCCAAUCAGGUUUUAAAUCCACAGUCUGACAUCAGACAGGAACCCAUCCCAGGGACUAUUUAGGUUGUCAGUGUAGCAUGCCCCCGACUAGAGGAUGUCCAUCUUGUCACCUUACGUAACAUGGCUAGUUAUUUUUCCAGUUUCCCUGAAACUACCCCCUCCCCACACCCCUGGGGGGUUGAGAGUUCCUGGAAUUGACCACAUGUCCAGCCAAGAUGCUUGCUCUGGCAGUUGGAAAACAAUUUAAUUGGUCUGUUUAAGAUGAAAACCAACUGUGAACUUUAACUGACUUAUGCAAAUAAGUACUUGAGUUUGAAACAUAAUGAUUGGUCCCUUAUAUUCCUGCUUUUGCAAACCACCCGAGUGUGUAUAAAAAGUCCUUGCAAACUCAUACAGGCUGCUCGCUGUAUGCACUCCGAGUGCAGGGACAGCCUGGCCGUAAAAUAAAUCUCCCUUACCUCAACUUUGACCUCAUGGCGUGGCUUGAUUUCCAACCUACAACAGUCAGGCUUACAGGCAACCACUUUACCCACUAAGUGUUUUACCAACCCUAGGCAAACCUUUCUUUUUACAAGGUCAGGGAGGUGUGUGUGGGGUACGUGCAUGUGAGUGUAGGUGCACAUGAAGGCCAAUGCACAUGAAGGCCAGAAGUGUCAGAUCCCCCUGAUGCUGGGGUUACAGGUAGUUGUGAGCCACCCAACGUUGAGUCCUGGGAACCAAACUGAACCAAACCUGUCCUCUCCAAGAGCAGUAAGCACCUUUAACUGAGCCAUCUCUCCAGCCCCUAGAUAAGCCUUUCUUAAGUAUCCUUUUCACCUUUCCCAGAAAUCCCUUUGCCUUGGCCCUCUCUUUGGAGUGUAGACCCCCUGGCACCAGGGAGGGACCUCAGGGUCCUGCAGGAAUGUUCAGACGGGCACUAAGAUAGACAAGUGCUGAAAAGUACAAGAUAAGCUCUGGGGUGGCUGGGUGUGGGGCAAAGAUAAGGGCUUGGUCUAUGUCUCAGUUUAAAGGGCAAGACAGUUCCAAUUAUGUCCCUAAAGGCUUAGUGUGAAUUGCAGUCACAUCCUUAAGAGCUUUACCAUGAGCUUGAAUAAAGCAUUACAGGAGUAGAGGACUCCUUAGUGCCUUA
This is a long non-coding RNA of Nannospalax galili (Upper Galilee mountains blind mole rat), 2991 nucleotides long. RefSeq lists it as uncharacterized. The record is from RefSeq and is a predicted model, not a curated record. The transcript is spliced from 4 exons. NCBI's taxonomy places the organism in Eukaryota, Metazoa, Chordata, Mammalia, Rodentia, Spalacidae.